UUAAAUACACUUGAGGAAAGGGAAAGGGGGAGAGGAGCGUGAGAGAGAGAAAGGGGGAGGAAGAUUAAGUAAUAAAGAAAUAAGGAGCUUGGCGCCCAAGAAAGCUUAAAUGCUGCACUGCACACCUGCACUGUACAACACUGCACACCUGCACUGCAGUGACACCUUGGCUGCUUUUUUUGAUAUAUUGCCACCAUUGAAAUGACCAGCAGAGUUUGGAGAAGAGCCCAAUUCACUGGUAGUGUAUCGCACGGUAAUAUCGGAGACUUCUCUACUGUAAGAUUUAUAGAUGGCACAUUGCAUUAAUACUCCUAAACUUUUCAAGAUUUAUUGACAGUGCUUACAUUUAACUUAUACAUUGUGUUUUUAACUCUACAACUUUUGUGUCCCAAGGGAGAGAUGAUGCAUGGAAAAGCAAAAAUGAAUUUGCUCUUUCACUUGCUUGAAAUUCUUCAUAGUGAAGAGUUGGUGGCAACAGAAGAUAAUAUUGAAAGUGUUUGAGUGGAAAUUGUUGAGUGGAAAUUGUUGUCUGAUACUUCCAUUUAUCAACUUCCAUUUAUCCUGCAAUGUGUACUUCCUGCUAACCAAUAAAGUUUGUCUUUUUCCCCUGUGAUCGUUUUGUUUGGCAUUCACUCAAAUACCCCUCGGCAGUUAACUGCCGAAAUUUUAGAAAUACGGCUGCAGUUAACUGCCGAGGGGUAUUUGAGUAAUUUACUCGCGUGGCACAGCCAAACCAAAAGUGGGAACAACAAUUCUCCAAGAAUAUUCAAUUCAAAGUUGCAGAAUCAACGAAACAGGGUUUAUGGUUUUUCUGUCUCUCUUCGACUUUAACUCCAAAUAAUCACUUUCAUGGCACCAAUGCUUCACUACCAAACCAACUUAUGUAAAUAAGCCCUUUUUCCUAUUCACCCUUUUCGCUACUUCUUCAACCUAAAACGGAACCUUUCUCACACUAUAAAGCUGGGGUAUUAUUGGGUUUGUUUUCAGCCAUGCGGGUCUCUUCUCAGAGUACCGCUUUUAGGUCAACUUUUUAUUGCCCCUCUUGUUUCUCUUUUUCUUCUUCUUCUUCUUCCAGACCCUUUCGUUCUUCUCUCUCUUCUUUAGGUUUUUUUGCUAACUAUGGUUCAUCUCAACACAGGUUUGUUCUUUCUUAAUUCAAAGUUCUUGUCUUUUUUAUAUUUGGUCUUGUUUUUAGGUUGGCCCAUGUGCUAAUAUUGCUUCUUAAGUUGAGGAAUUUUAUGUGUUGUGUUUUGAGUUUGGUGGAAUUUUUACUUGUUUUUGGAUUAUUUGUUUGUAAUGUGUGCACACUAUGUUUGUUGUUUUGUUUUGUUUUGUUUGUUACUAAAGCACGGACACUUCAAAUUGAAGGCACACAUGUGUCUGACACCAACGUGUGUGUCCGACACCGUACAACACAUGUGAUCACAUUCAAUUAUGUCAUUUUCUCAAAUUAUUAACAAUGUUUCUCAAAUUAUUAACAAUGUUAGACGGUGUGACUCGUGAGUGACAAUGUCGCGUCCGGUGUCACUGUCUGCUUCAUAGAUUGUUCUAUUAAUAAUAUUUUUGAAUGAAAUAUCCUGUUCUCUACUAGCUUGGCUGAACUUUUGAUCCCCGCCUCAAAUAUAAGGAAAUAAAAGUCAAACUAAGUAGAUGUUGCUUGGUCGAAUUUCUUUUGCUUAUAUUUGAGACCGGAGUACUCAACAAUGCAUUCGUAAAGAUGAAGUUUGUAAUAGAAGUUUGGUUUUGUUUCUUCUUUCCUGCAUUUUGUGAAACUGUUUCUGAAGUGGGGAGAGGGUGUGAGGAUGGUAUUCAGCUUUGAAGCACAAAUGUGGAUACCAACACUGACACCGAUAAUAAUUUUAGAAAAUAGAAGUGAUUGUAUGUAAUUAUUAGUGUCAGUAUCGUGUCGAUGUAGUACACACCUUCAAUUGGAACUGUAGGGGCUACAUAGGUAUUGAGUAAAUGUGUAUAGAGUUUGAUUUGAUAGUAAAAGUGAACAGGAACUGUGUAGGAAGUUUGUUUGUGGUGUGUUCAGAUAAAAAUCUAUAAAGCUUUUGCUCAUUGUAUUUUUAGGGGUUUUCUCAUAUGGUUGUCUUUCUAACUAUAAAAUCGUAAAUGUUCAGUUUAUGGACUGUUCUGGUGUUGUGAAGGCUUGAACAGUACUUUUUUAUUUUAAACACCGGUAAAUUUUUUGUCACGUGAUUGAAAGGUCACGGAUGCAAGUCCUGGAAAUAGCCUCUUGUGUAAAAAUCAAGGUAAGGUUGCGUACAAUACACCUAUUGGUGGGACCCUUUCCCAGACUUUGUGUAUGCAUGAGCUUUAGUGCACCGGGCUGCCAAAUGCCAAAUACAAAUUUGAGUGAAAAUAAAAAUAAAAACUCAAGGGUUUAUAGAAAUGGUUACCUCGCACGAGGUGUAACCGCUGGAAUUUUACAUCGCUUAAUGAUUUCUAGUAGCUUGAUGUUUAUGUUAAAGUUUGAUUUUAAAUUUGUUAGUUUGCUUAACUUUUAUCCAUUGUUUUAAAAAUGAAUAUUAACAAUUCAACAUUGAAUAUCUAGAAGCAAGUCAUAAGGUUUAAACCAUGAAGUGGUAUGUAAAUGACUUUACUGAAAUUCUUCUAUAGUCUUCUUCUUCCUCCUUUUCUUCUGUAAAUUUUGUUAUUUAUAUUGGAAAUCAAUAUUUUGUAUUACUCAUGAAAAAGCGUGCAUGUUAAAAUUGGUUUGCAUUGGAUGUUGACUUUUUGCUGUGUACAAGUCCUUGUUUCUCGUUAAAAGGUUGAGACUGGAGUAAUUAAAAAGAACUUCACAUAUACUAAUGAAGUAUUUAUAUUUUAAUUGGUUUCAUAGAUGCUAAGAAGCCCAAAGAAAAAAUUAUAAAAUACCCAGCUAGGAACAUCAAAUUAUUCUGAGCCUGAGAGUAAUCAUAUGCAAAUGUUGGUCGUUGAAUACAGUGUCACUAAUGAUAUAUUUGAUAGUGGAAAUGUUAUAAUUUAUUAUUAUUCAUGACAUUUUAGAAGUGAAAAUAUGUAUAGAAGGGGUUUUUUCUUUAGCUGGUGUUUCACGCAUGGUUGCAUAGCCUUGUUUGCCUGAGUUGUUUGUUAUUAUACUGCGUCGUCUUCAGCGGGCUAUGAAAAUUAAAAUAUACUAUUUCGAUCUAUUGAUUGGUAGCUUUGUAUUUAUUUUUUUUGCAUGAUAUGCGCAGACAUCGCAAUUUGUCUGGUAGCUUUCUUCAAUUUAGAGAAGGUUCAUACUGUCCAAAGCGAAUAUCUUUUGGGUUGAAAAAAUGCAAUGACAUGGAGUAUCAUCGUAAUUCUCCAGUACAUAUUUCAGUUAUGAAAUUUUCAACUGCAUCAUUUAGCACGUUGAAGGUAACAAAUCAAACAAGACGGGAAGAAGAGCUGAGCUCUUUGAGUUCUUACGACAGACAAGUUAGGAUGAUGACACAUUUUGGUUCUUGCAGUUACAGAUUAUCCAAAACACCUCGUAGAAAGUUAUCUGGUGAUAGAACCGGAUGGGCUGAGGCUGGGCAUAAAUUGACUCAGAUAAAAAUGGAAAUGCAUGAUCUGGACAAACGUAGUUUGUAUCCAUCCAAUACAAAUACAAUUGCUUCUUCUAUUGCUCAGAAACCAGCUAUUACUCAAAACGAAGGGCGCAAUCUUAUGCUGCAUGAUCUAUGUGAACCUGCCUCAUCUUCUGUUCAACAUUCUAUGUUAAACAACUCAAUGUUAUUGAUAGACACUGAAAGAGUUGGUACCGAGUCAAAUGUAUCUUCAUUAAAGACCGGUGAAGAGAAAAUUCAUGGCGUUGAUGGCACUGAGUCAAAUGUGUCUUCAUUAAAGACCAGUGAAGAGAAAAUUGACAAUGUUGAUGGCAAUCACAGUUUGGAUGCUACUGCAAAAGACGCAACUAAGGCAAAACUUACUGUUAGAAUGAUACGCAGUGAUGAACAAUCAAAACUUCGGGAAAGGCUCUGUAGUAUCUAUGAAGACAUACUGGUUGUUAAUAAUAUUUCUCAUGCAGAGCAAGUAGCUAAGAUGCUUACAGUAAAUUACAGGCAUCUUAUUCAUGCAUGUGAUACCGAGGUAUUAUUAUUGACCGUGUUAACUUUUAUUCUGAUUGUGCCCUAAUUGCAACACUGUACACGACUAGAUUCUUUUUCCAAUAUGCAUAUAUAUACUUUGGACAUGAGGUCAAUGGAUGUAUCCUUUAGUCCUUUUUAACUAAUACAAAUUGAGUCUUUUCAAUAAAAGUUGUGCCACUAUGAAUCUCUUGGCUACUUGUAUUUUACGAUGUUGAGCAUGUGAUAUGUGCCGAUUUUGAUUGACUUGAAAGGUAUCCAAGAUAGAUGUCAAACAAGAAACGCCUAUAGAUCAUGGGGAGAUAAUAUGCUUCAGUAUUUAUUCGGGUCCAGAAGCUGAUUUUGGAGGUGGGAAAUCAUGUAUCUGGGUGGAUGUUCUUGACGGUGGAGGCAAAGAGAUAUUGAAUAAGUUUGCCGAUUUUUUUCAAGAUCCAUCGAUAAAAAAGGUGGCUUCUCUUUCUUUUCAUUCUUCCUUUUAUGGUUUUAGUCUUAUUACUCAUCUUUAUGUUCAGAACCUCUUAAGAGUUUGUUUGAUUAUAUUUUGGUAGAAUGAUUUAAACAAUUUUGAUGUUAAUUUUUUUUUGCAUUUGGGUAUGCUGUUUUAAAAGCGAGUUUAAAAGAAUUGCUUUUGUUUUUUAUGGUAAAAUUAGUAGUUUGACUCAUGUUGUUGUGUCAUAUUAGUAGUUUAUUGCAAAUUGUCAUAUUCAAGUUAGUAGUCUAAGUGUUUAAAUUAAUAUAUUUACCUGGUAGCAAAUUGUUAGGCGUUUUAGGCGCAGAACAAAACAUUUGCAUCAUUUUAAAGGAGUAAUAUUAGAUAUAUGUGAUUGUUAAUAUUAAAGGAGUAAUAUUUGAUAUAUGUGAUUGUUAAGGGCCAAUUGAUAUUCUUAUUUCAUUGCCUAGUAAUGUAAACAGGAAAAGCCCCACCUUUUCACAGUAUCACUUACAGCCUCUACCCAACUUUAUUACAUGAACCUAUAGAUUCUCUCUUAUGUAGUAGUGUUUGAACUUUUAACCAUACGGGUAAUAGUUGGGCUGUGUUUUAUGCCUUGCAAGCAUAUCAAAUUGAGAUUCAAAUCGUGAAUCAGAAAACCAGUUUUCGAAUCGUUAAUCAAAUCUUGUUAUUAAUAGCUAGAUACAUUAUCAAUAAAAAUAUAACAUUUUUAUGCAAAAUCAAGUGACAUACACAAAAGCACAAGCUAAUAUAUCAUAUGCUUACCUCAAAGUAAUUUAAGAUUCAAGUAAUAACAUGACAGAAAAGUGUUUGGCUACACAAAAUUGUGGUUGUACAAAGUUCAAGGGAAAGUUGAGCACAGAGAUUCAUAUUGAUUGUGUUUUGUUACUAAUUGAGAUACAACUCUCAACUUAGUUAAAUAACUGUUUGCCGUUUCCAACUUUAUAAUAUACAGGAGGACACUUUUAGUGGAGUACUUGUCAGUCAUGUCAUUCCACAACCGGUGACAAAAUAAUGGCCUGCAUGUUUGUACUUUUCUAAAUUCUAAAUUAUUAUUAUAUUUUUUACAUAAAAAUGUUUGAAUUUUAAAAUAUUUGGAUUUGAGGGGGGGGGGACCAAAGAAAAAUAGCCUUGGUGUUCUUCUUGAUAUCAUAAAAAAGGACUGUAAUAGUUCUUAACUAAAAAGAUUAUCCAGUUGUAUAAUUCUAGCUUCAUAAAUUGAUAGCGGCAUUUUAUUAUUGGGUUUAUGUGACGUAGAUUUGAAAAUGAUAUUUGAAGUAAUAAAGUUACUGGUGCACUUUGUAGGUUUGGCAUAACUAUAGCUUUGAUUGUCAUGUUAUACAAAAUUAUGGAUUUAAGGUUUCUGGAUUUCAUGCUGAUACAAUGCACAUGGCACGACUGUGGGAUUCAUCAAGACGUUUGGUUGGUGGUUAUUCUCUUGAAGCACUUAGUGGCGACAAAGAAGUCAUGUCUAGGGGUAAUCUGAACCAUGAAACGGAUUUGAUUGGUAAGGUGUCGAUGACAACCAUAUUUGGUCAGAGAAAGGAGAAGAAAGAUGGAUCUAUGGGUAAAAUCGUUACCAUUGAGCCUGUUGAAGUACUGCAAAGAGAAGAGCAUAUACCUUGGAUAUGUUACUCUGCUUUAGAUGCCAGAAGCACUCUGAAGCUUUAUGAGAGCCUAAAAAGUCAUCUGUCAGAUUUACCUUGGAAAAUUGAUGGAGAACUUUUACGCGAAAACAUGUUUGAUUUUUACGAGAUAUAUUUGCAGCCAUUUGGUGAACUUCUUGUCAAAAUGGAAUGUGAGGGUAUGCUAGUUGAUCGGUUAUAUCUUCAAGAAAUAGAAAAGGUGGCCAAAGCAGAGCAACAGGCAGCUCUUAAUAGAUUCCGAAAAUGGGCAUCUAGGUAUUGUCCUGAUGCCAAGUAUAUGAAUGUUGGAAGCGAUACACAGUUGCGUGUACUGCUUUUUGGUGGCACUGUGAACAGGUGCACAUUAUUUAAAUCUUUUGUGGAGCUUUUGCUUCGAUCUUAAUUCAUUGAUAAUUUGAUAGAAAAGUUACAAUUCUAUUUAUGUAAUUGUUCUUAGUUGUUUAUAAUGAAGUGGUUCACGUAAAUCAUUUUUCCUGCCCUGUUAUACAGAGAAAACCACAAUGAGGCAAUUCCAACGGAGCGGAUUUUCAAAGUUCCGAAUGUUGAUAAAGUGAUUGAAAAAGGAAAAAAGAUUCCCUCAAAAUUACGUGAUAUUAAGUUGAAUAGCAUUGGAUGUAACCUGAAUGUUGACAUUUACACACCUAGUGGCUGGCCCUCAUGUAGUGGUCCCGCUUUAAAGGCGCUGGCUGGCAAAGUUUCUGCUGAGUAUGACUUUGAUCUUGAGGAUGAAGAUGGUAAUCCUUCUCAAAGGGAAGAUGAGCCUUUAGAAAUAGAUAAUUCUGCUUAUGGAACAGCCUAUUUUGCUUUUCCAACAGAGGAAGAAGGGAGAGAAGCUUGUCAUGCAAUUGCUGCUUUAUGUGAAAUCUGCUCAAUUGACUCUUUGAUCUCUAAUUUUAUCCUUCCCCUGCAGGUAAUUAUUCUUUUCUCUCCAAUAAGUUUAUUCUGGACUUUUUCACUGCUCCGGUUGUGUUCAUGGAUUUUCAUGUUGCUCCUAUAAACUUUGCUUAUACAGUGCGACUGGCAUUUAUAGUGUUUUUUGUCAAAGCAUUUAAAACAUUGUCAAGGUUAGUUUAUAAUGAAGGUUUUUUAUGUCUGCUUUGUGGUAGCUUAAUACGUUUCAAUUCAAUGACAGGGACAUAAUAUAUCGGGGAAGGAUCAGCGUGUUCAUUGUUCCAUAAAUAUCAACACAGAGACUGGACGCUUGUCGGCAAGACGACCAAAUCUACAGGUUCUUCCAACUCCCAUUUCUUUCAAAUUCCAUACUCGUUGUUGAGUUACUUAAUUUAACCCUUUUGGGUUAAUGGUGCUUUACCCCCUAUAAUAUAGGUCAUUUUUGGUUUUCCCCCCUGUAAAAUAAUUUUUUUGAUUUACUGCCUGUAAAAUUUUUUUUGUUUUGGAAUACCCCUAAUAGGUAAUAAAAAAACGAAAAAAUUCUGGAAAAAAAAAAAAAUAAAGUCGUUUUUUAUGACCUAUUAGGUUGGUAUUCCAAAAAAAAAAAUUUUUUACAAGGGGGUUAAUCAAAAAAAAUAUUUUACAGGGGGGAAAACAAAAAAUGACCUAUAUUACAGGGGGGGUAAAGCACCAUUAACCCUUUUUUAAAAUGCCAUACAUGUUUCUGUCCUUCUGUUUGUCUGUGUAUACGUAUUUUGUUAUAUGAGGGGGUGAGGUUGAUACAAAGUCAUUCCUAUGACCUCACGUAAUAGCUUAACCUUUUAGAAGAGUUGGUUCAUGACAAUGCUAAAUUAAAAUGAUAGAUUGUUUAUGUUAGAGCUAUCAAGGAUAUGUACGAGGGAGCUUCGACUAGUAUGAGGACACAGGAUCAACCUUCAGUCCUUACAUUUUUACUUUAGUUUUGGAUGUGACGGAACACAUCCAAGAGUUAGCACCAAGAUGUAUGCUUUUUGCAGAUGAUGCAGUCCUGCUUGGAGAGUUGAGGGAGGAAUUGAAUGGGAGGUUAGAGACUUGGAGACAAGCCUUAGAAGCGUAUGGCAUCCGCCUUAGUAGAAGCAAGACAGAGUAUAUGGAAUGUAACUUUAGCAAAAGGCAAAGUAGUCCUACCUUGGAGGUGAAAGUUGGACGCCUUAGUAGAAGCAAGACAGAGUAUAUGGAAUGUAACUUUAGCAAAAGGCAAAGUAGUCCUACCUUGGAGGUGAAAGUUGGAGAUCAUAUCAUACCCCAAGUUACAUGGUUUAAAUAUCUUGGGUCCAUAGUACAAAAUAACAGAGAAAUAAGAGCAGAUGUAAAUCAUCGUAUCUUGAGAUGAUGUUGUGUUGGAUGAGUGGUAAGACUACACGAGAUACGAUUAGAAGUGAAAUCAUUAGAGAGAGAGUUGGGGGCAGCACCUAUAGUAGAAAAGAUGGUAGAAAAUAGGUUUAGGUGGUUUGAGCAUGCAGAGAGAAGACCUGUAGAUGUUGUAGUAAGAAGAGUAGAUCAGAUGGAGGAGAGUUAGAUCAAAAAGGUAGAGGAAGACCUAGAAAAACUAUUAGGAAAUAUUUAGAGAUUAAUGAGUUGGAUCUCAAUAUGGUUUAUGAUAGAACAUUAUGGUAUAAUUUGAUCCAUGUAGCGACCCCACUUAGUGGGAUAAGGCUUGGCUGCUGGUUUGGUUACUGCAUUAAAAAAUCUUUUACUUAAAUAUGUUUUUGUGCCAAUCAAAGUUUCCUUCCCCAUACAGAAAACAUUAAAACGUACAUUUUGGAUUUGGAGGGGGGGAUUUUCAGAAAUUUUGCUUUGAACUUUCAAAUAGAAGCAUGUAUUACAUUUUCUCAUCAGAUUUAUACUUGGACCACAUUAAUCAUUGUAUUUCAAAAAGUUGCAGAUUUAAUCUAACCUGUAUGAUUCAUAUAUCAGAAUCAACCAGCUUUGGAAAAGGACCGAUACAAAAUCCGUCAAGCAUUCGUAGCUGCUCCUGGAAAUUCUCUUAUAGUUGCGGAUUAUGGGCAGGUUUUUUAGUUUACUUAUCUGUCUAAUUGAGCUAGUUUCUUUGUAUUUCAUUCAUGGUUGAUGGAGUUAUUAUGUAACGUAACAGUUGGAGCUCAGGAUACUUGCACAUCUUACUGAUUGUAAGAGCAUGUUGGAAGCCUUUGAAGCUGGUGGAGAUUUCCACUCCAGAACUGCAAUGAAUAUGUACCCAUAUAUUCGUGAAGCAGUUGAAAAAAAGGAAGUUCUUCUUGAAUGGCAUCCUCAACCUGGUGAAGACAAACCCCCUGUUCCUCUCCUCAAGGUAAAUUUACUUCUCAUCAACAUAUCUUAAGAUGGUAAUAACCUUGCAUUCCGUGCACAAUUAGAACUCGUUUUGGUACACCUCGAACAUAGUUCUCGUUAUUGUAAAUACAAUGACGAUAUUAAAUUGCAGAAAAGUUAUUUUAGCACAAACCAACAUCCGACACCGUAUUUUGGUGCAUUUUGAUUUAUUUAUUUUUAAUUAUUUUUCUGUCCUUUGGUCAAACCACACUAACUCGGGAUGUAUUAAAUUAAUAGGGCUAUAUUAUUUUUAUUAAUUUUUUCUAAGUAAUAUAUUUUACUGAAAGGGAACCAAUGACGUACUAAUUUAAAAGGUGACCUAAAUAUAAACCUUUGAGGAGGAAUUAUAAGAAGCGAAUAUAUUUUGUACAGAGGUUGAAGUUCUUUACCAGGAAAUAUGUUGUAUCUAUCUCAACCGCAUAAAAUUGGCCUAAAAAUCUGAAAUGUAAAACCUUUGAGGAGGAAUUAUACGAAGGGGGUAUAUUUUAUAGAGCAGUUGAAGUUCUUUAUCACAAAAUCUGCUGUAUCUAACUCAACCACAUAGAAUUGGCCUAAAAAUCUGCAAUAUAAACGGAGAAUUAUAAGAAGCGGAUGUAUUUUAUAGAGCAGUUGAAGUUUUUUGUCAGAAAAUAUGUUGUAUCUAACUCAACUGCAUCAAAUUGGCUUCUAUGGUGAUGACUGUCUAGGUUUUCAAGCUGCGUUUAGGCCAUUUCUCUAGCCAAUGUGGGACUUGGUUUUUCGAAAUAGAGAGCUUUGUUUAGCAGCUUAGCUUUAUAUAGUAAUCUUGAAACCCGAGAUAGGUCUUCUUCUGAGUGUUUAGUAGAAACUUAUGAGAAAACAAGCACAUUAUUAUAUUUCGUAUCAAUUUAUAUCCUUUUCCUAUCUCAGGAUGCCUUUGCUUCUGAAAGAAGAAAAGCCAAAAUGCUUAACUUCUCAAUUGCAUAUGGAAAGACUCCACAAGGUCUUUCUAAGGAUUGGAAGGUACCAUGAAUUCUAUCAUAUAUCACGAGGUGCUUACAUAGGUUACAAGUCUCUGAAUUUUGAUUUGAUUGUACAAAUAUUUUCUGUCAGGUUUCUGUGAAAGAAGCUAAGAACACAGUUGACCUCUGGUACAAUGAUAGAAAAGAAGUUUUGAAAUGGCAACAGAAACGUAAAAAAGAAGCUUUUGAAUUUGGGUGUGUUUAUACGUUGCUAGGACGAGCCCGGCGAUUCCCCGAGAUAUUCCUAGGUCGUCGUAACUACUACAAAGGUCACAUUGAGCGUGCUGCUAUUAAUACCCCAGUGCAGGUCCUCUAGUCUUUCAAAUAUACCAAGACUACAUUAUUCCCAUAGAACUUCAUAGCAUUUAGAAAUCAUUUUUUUCCCAUUAUAAUGCAACAGGGAAGUGCAGCUGAUGUUGCCAUGCUUGCCAUGUUAGAAAUAUCCAAAAAUAAACAGUUGAAGGAGCUUGGAUGGAAGUUACUUCUUCAGGUUAAUAUCUGUGCAAAGAUUUUUCUUGUUUAUAAUCUCUAUCCUCACUCUUUGUCAAGUUCCAUUCAACCUCAAUAUUUUCAUCCACUUGAAUUUCAAUUUCAAUACCAGUUAUUUUCCAUUCUUCAUAGUACUCCAUAGUUUAUUAUACAUUGGUUUUUGCUUUGUCAUUUUUUUCUUUUCAACCUCAUUUUCCGAUCUCAAUUGAUAUAUGAAUAUAAUGAGCAUUAAAGCUCUGUUAUCAUGGCUUUUGCCUCUAUAUUCAUAUGAAUGCUUUUUCAUAUGUAAGCGUUUUGGCUAAGAUUUUUGCACAUGACAACAUAGGUUCAUGAUGAAGUCAUAUUGGAAGGACCAACAAAGUCAGCUGAGGUUGCAAAGAAUAUAGUUAUUGACUGCAUGUCAAAACCCUUCAAUGGCCAAAAUAUUCUUAAAGUUGGUCUCACUGUGGAUGCCAAGUGUGCACAAAACUGGUAUGCCGCAAAAUAAACAUCAAAUCAAAACUGUUGUGCCGCGGUUUGGUGGGGUAGUUUUGCACCCUUGGCUUUAAUACGAAGGUCAUGGAUGAACUUGGUUGCAUACAAAACUGUAUUGUUUCUCUGGUGACUAUAAUCAAAAGAGGUUGUGAUGCAACUUGGGGUGCCUUCUAUUUUUGCAUGGAAAAAGUAAUGUCCUUUUGGUCUCAUGUUAUCCUCUUUCAUUUUUAGAGAGGUUAUGGAAAUGGUUUCAUUGUGAAUUUUGUGUAUAGAAUUUUUAAUUAUGAAGCAGAAGGCCAAAAUCAAUGGUGUCCAAUGAAGCACCGAUACCAAUAUGGACACCGGACACGUCAUUGGCACGUCGACACGGGUGAUAAUUUCAAAAAGUAAUUAAUUAAAUGCCGUUGCACGUGUCAUUGUUGUGUCGUUACUAAAAAUUAGUAUCAGCGUUUGUUAGCUCUACUCUGUUUUUUUCUUCGUGUUUUUAUUUUACAAGCUCAUAGUAUGUUUUGUCUUGUAUAAUGUACCAAUGUGGCUCUAUGCUUUGUGCAACUAUGUAUUAUUUUGUAUAGUUGUAUAUAAAACGAAAAUUUCAAAUUCCAUCUCAUUUGCCAAUGUUCAUGACUGGUUGCAAACUCAUUACAUCUCCUGCAUUAUUGAUACUAUUUUAGACGAAUUAACAUUAAGAAAGUUAAUGCUAAACGCAGCUGCAAAGAAAAUGUGCUUGUGAAUGUUGAUAUUUUUUAUUUAUUUUAUAAAGAGAAUAUUGCUGAUAAUUGUGGAGCUCAAAGUAGGUGUUAUUAAGAUUAUCACCAAACCCAGUUAAUGAACAAUAUGCUGGUCUUUUUAUUUUUUUUUUAUUUUUAAGAUUGUAAGAUUCAGUUCAAUUUUUAAUUACAGUAACUAAAUUCUUGAAAUAUUGACAAUUAUUUCACAACGCCUACACAAACGUUACCGUUUAUACCUCAAGAAGAAAAAAAUAGUUAAGAGUUUAUGAUUAAUUAAUGCAUUAACCUUUUCUAAUUCAUCCUUUUUGUAUACACACCGUUUUCCACUAUAUUUCCUUCUAUUUGUAAGAGGACUAUGAACUUCCUCAUUUUCACAUCCCUUCCAUUGAAACACAAAGUAGUAAGUAUAUAUGGUAGUGUCAUCCAGUGCGAUGGGAUAAAAAAGGAUAGAAUCACCUUCAAGUAUAUCCAGCUAGUAUAUAUGAUAAUGUCAUCAUAGGUUUAGUUUGUUAGUUAGAAAAAUGUUUACCAAUAAUGUAUUCAAAAAUUUCAUUGCUCUCUUAUGUCAUGAUGUUUGCUUCAUGUAACCAAUCGAUCUGCAAGAUAAAGAGGUUGAUUUGGAAAAUACUCAAUCACCGGUGGACAAGAACAAAAAUACCUUCAGAUUCAAUUUCACACGCCGGUGAUGUUGUGAUAUAGUCCAUAGUUAGAGCUACAAUAAGUAGUUUGAAGGAUGUUCCUGCAAGUGUUGUGAACAUUCUAGAUAGAAGAUUUAAGUGUCCCUAGCUCUAUUCUAAUGGCUACUAAUAUAAUUCUCAAGAAUCUUUAUUAAGACCAUAUUCCAUUUAGUAAAUUAGGAUGGAUUUGCAUCCAAACUUAAAUAUACAAAUUCAAAUAGAAGAACUCCAUAUUUGAAGGAUUGCUUGAUUAAAUACUGAAACAAUGGGGGACUUUAUGAACAAAUAUAUGUCUCUUCACCAAGAAUAAGAAACCAUGUUAGAAAGUUUCGUGAUUAGCACCUCGCUAAAUAAUAAUAUCUCCCAAGUCCCACCUAAUCAAUAAAGAGAAAAUGUGUAUAUGAAACCAUAAGGUUUUAGGACUACUAUGGUUCACUGAUAUGUAAUCAGUUUAAUGAAAAGCUUAUGUCUUCACUAAAAAGCUUUGACUUCAGAUAGAAUGUCUUUAUCGGGUUGUCUUUUGGCCGGUGGUGUAGAAAGAGUGAGACUUGGAUCAUAUAACCCACAUUGAUUCCUAAAAAGUUCAAUUAGUUGUUAGACAUAAUUAAUUGAUUAUGAUUAAAUGAAAAUUUUAUGAGCCAGGCGGGAUAGAUAUCUUACAGAAGUUUCCAUUGAAACAUCCUUAUCUUCUUCAAUCAUAUUGAGAGACAGAACUUCCUUAAAUGCAGAUGAAUGUAUUAAAACUAGUGUGAGACCCGUGUCGAUGCCACGGGCUUAUAAAUAAUUGUAGCGGUCGUCAAUUAAUCAAACAAUACAACUAAAAAUAUGAAUAUGAAUCAAAAGUCUACCUAAUAAAUAUGAACAAAAGAAAAAGGUUUGCAAAUCCAAAAAUUUAUUUAAAAUAAAACGAUCCCGUAGAUCAGGUGACGACUCAGAAUGUAUGUCAUGUUUUUUCAUUUAAUAAUAUUUGUAAACACUCACAAACACACAUAUUUAGCCUUAUAACCCUAUUUUGUACUAAGAAUGUUAUGAAUGAUGAGACUUUGCAUAAGACAAUAAAGGUUUAAAAGUAUAAUUAUAAAUAUAAAUGUUAUGAAUAAAAUAGAUGUAGCUGUCAAUGUAGAAAUGAUGGUAGAAUGUUCUCUUAGGCCAUUUGGUUAUGUGAGGGGAGGAAACCUGUAGAAAUUAAAGGAGUAAGAGUUAAUAUGUGCGAGCAUUGUGUUCAGCAUAAAUAACUUUUUAUUAAGGGCUUCAUCAAGAUGCUAUACCUUAAACUUGUUUAUUUAGAAAAGAUCUAUCAUUUGCUUUCAUAUUAUGGGCUUCUAGCUGAAAAAAUGAAGAGGAUAAUAGAAACUUAAUGAGUACCAUGAAAAGAUAUAUCCCUUAAAUUUUAUGAAAACCUAUAAUUUGGUGAAAUAUUCUUAUUAUUGUAUUCUUCUGGAAUGCCUUCAUACCGCUGGUGUGGUUCCUUCAAGAAUUCGUUGAUUUGGUUGUAGAAACCUAUGGAAGAUAGAUAAAGAAGAGGCAAAAAGAUGCAUGUUGAAUAUACAAAUGGAGAAUAACAAAAAGAUAUCCAUGUACUUACACAUAUCUUGUUAAAAAGAGUGCAUACCAAUGAGAUCAGCUUUUUGUUUUAUCAUCUAAUAUACCACCUGCAUCAUCAAUUGUAGAGUAUGUUUAUGUAAGUUUAUCAAACAUCAUGAAAAUGUAUUACAAUACAAUCAUUAAGGAAAAAGAAGCAGAAACUUACUUUGCUAGAAAAAUGUAUGAAGGAUUUUUGGCAUGAUAGAGAUGAAUGAAUGAGAUGGGAAGGCAAUGGUUUAAAUACACUUGAGGAAAGGGAAAGGGGGAGAGGAGCGUGAGAGAGAGAAAGGGGGAGGAAGAUUAAGUAAUAAAGAAAUAAGGAGCUUGGCGCCCAAGAAAGCUUAAAUGCUGCACUGCACACCUGCACUGUACAACACUGCACACCUGCACUGCAGUGACACCUUGGCUGCUUUUUUUGAUAUAUUGCCACCAUUGAAAUGACCAGCAGAGUUUGGAGAAGAGCCCAAUUCACUGGUAGUGUAUCGCACGGUAAUAUCGGAGACUUCUCUACUGUAAGAUUUAUAGAUGGCACAUUGCAUUAAUACUCCUAAACUUUUCAAGAUUUAUUGACAGUGCUUACAUUUAACUUAUACAUUGUGUUUUUAACUCUACAACUUUUGUGUCCCAAGGGAGAGAUGAUGCAGGGAAAAGCAAAAAUGAAUUUGCUCUUUCACUUGCUUGAAAUUCUUCAUAGUGAAGAGUUGGUGGCAACAGAAGAUAAUAUUGAAAGUGUUUGAGUGAAAAUUGUUGUCUGAUACUUCCAUUUAUCAACUUCCAUUUAUCCUGCAAUGUGUACUUCCUGCUAACCAAUAAAGUUUGUCUUUUUCCCCUGUGAUCGUUUUGUUUGGCAUU
Molecule: long non-coding RNA, 15197 nt
Filed under: Medicago truncatula (barrel medic)
Lineage: Eukaryota; Viridiplantae; Streptophyta; Magnoliopsida; Fabales; Fabaceae
Description: long non-coding RNA (MTRU_LNC000598)
Source: RNAcentral